GCUCGAGUUGUAAUUUGGAGAGGCAACUUCGAAGAGGGCGUUGGCCUAAGUUCCUUGGAACAGGACGUCACAGAGGGUGAGAAUCCCGUGCUUGGCCGACUGUCCCUCUUCAUGUGAAGUGUCUUCGACGAGUCGAGUUGUUUGGGAAUGCAGCUCAAAAUGGGUGGUAAACUCCAUCUAAGGCUAAAUAUUGGCGAGAGACCGAUAGCGCACAAGUAGAGUGAUCGAAAGAUGAAAAGCACUUUGAAAAGAGAGUUAAAAAGUACGUGAAAUUGUUGAAAGGGAAGCGCUUGAGACCAGACUCAGUGCUAGGUGAUCAGCGGUUACUUCUGUACCGUGCACUUGCCUUUUACUGGGCCAGCAUCAGUUACGGCGGUGGGAUAAAGACUCAGGGAAUGUGGCUCUCUUCGGGGAGUGUUAUAGCCCUGGGUGUAAUGCCACCUGUUGUGACUGAGGACCGCGCUUCGGCUAGGAUGCUGGCAUAAUGGUCUUCAGCGACCCGUCUUGAAACACGGACCAAGGAGUCUAACAUCUAUGCGAGUGUUCGGGUGUAAAACCCCUACGCGUAAUGAAAGUGAACGGAGGUGGGAACCUUUUAGGUGCACCAUCGACCGAUCCUGAUGUCUUCGGAUGGAUUUGAGUAGGAGCAUAGCUGUUGGGACCCGAAAGAUGGUGAACUAUGCCUGAAUAGGGUGAAGCCAGAGGAAACUCUGGUGGAGGCUCGCAGCGGUUCUGACGUGCAAAUCGAUCGUCAAAUUUGGGUAUAGGGGCGAAAGACUAAUCGAACCAUCUAGUA
RNAcentral lists this ribosomal RNA (796 nucleotides) under Pseudoplectania affinis. Its description in RNAcentral is "partial large subunit ribosomal RNA". It matches the Rfam family "Eukaryotic large subunit ribosomal RNA", at positions 136 to 949 of the family's 3401-position model. The record is from RNAcentral. Lineage: Eukaryota; Fungi; Ascomycota; Pezizomycetes; Pezizales; Sarcosomataceae.